GGUAAAAUGACUGAAUUUUAGGUGAUAAAUUGUAAAUUUAUUUAUGGAAAAAUCCUUUUACUA
This 63-nucleotide transfer RNA is filed under the name Amblyomma testudinarium. RNAcentral's name for it is "tRNA-Tyr". Lineage: Eukaryota; Metazoa; Arthropoda; Arachnida; Ixodida; Ixodidae. The record is from RNAcentral.